GCCCGACUGGCUCAGAGGGUAGAGCAUGUGACUCUUGAUCUUGGGGUGGUGAGUUCAAGCCCCACACUGGGCA
Molecule: transfer RNA, 73 nt
Filed under: Ailuropoda melanoleuca (giant panda)
Lineage: Eukaryota; Metazoa; Chordata; Mammalia; Carnivora; Ursidae
Rfam family: tRNA
About the family: Transfer RNA (tRNA) molecules are approximately 80 nucleotides in length. Their secondary structure includes four short double-helical elements and three loops (D, anti-codon, and T loops). Further hydrogen bonds mediate the characteristic L-shaped molecular structure. tRNAs have two regions of fundamental functional importance: the anti-codon, which is responsible for specific mRNA codon recognition, and the 3' end, to which the tRNAs corresponding amino acid is attached (by aminoacyl-tRNA synthetases). tRNAs cope with the degeneracy of the genetic code in two manners: having more than one tRNA (with a specific anti-codon) for a particular amino acid; and 'wobble' base-pairing, i.e. permitting non-standard base-pairing at the 3rd anti-codon position.
Source: Rfam by way of RNAcentral